RNAcentral lists this ribosomal RNA (477 nucleotides) under uncultured bacterium. Its description in RNAcentral is "partial 16S ribosomal RNA". It matches the Rfam family "Bacterial small subunit ribosomal RNA", at positions 28 to 523 of the family's 1533-position model. The record is from RNAcentral.
GACGAACGCUGGCGGCGUGCUUAACACAUGCAAGUCGAACGGUAAGGCCCUUCGGGGUACACGAGUGGCGAACGGGUGAGUAACACGUGGGUGAUCUGCCCUGCACUUCGGGAUAAGCCUGGGAAACUGGGUCUAAUACCGGAUAGGACCACUGCCUGCAUGGGUGGUGGUGGAAAGCUUUUGCGGUGUGGGAUGGGCCCGCGGCCUAUCGGCUUGUUGGUGGGGUGAUGGCCUACCACGGCGACGACGGGUAGCCGGCCUGAGAGGGUGACCGGCCACACUGGGACUGAGAUACGGCCCAGACUCCUACGGGAGGCAGCAGUGGGGAAUAUUGCACAAUGGGCGCAAGCCUGAUGCAGCGACGCCGCGUGAGGGAUGACGGCCUUCGGGUUGUAACCUCUUUCAGCACCGACGAAGCGCAUGUGACGGUAGGUGCAGAAGAAGGACCGGCCAACUACGUGCCAGCCGCCGCAGUAA